RNAcentral lists this ribosomal RNA (322 nucleotides) under uncultured eukaryote. Its description in RNAcentral is "partial 18S ribosomal RNA". It matches the Rfam family "Eukaryotic small subunit ribosomal RNA", at positions 1470 to 1796 of the family's 1831-position model. The record is from RNAcentral.
CCCUUAGAUGUCCCGGGCCGCACGCGCGCUACACUGGCAUGUUCAACAAGUUUCUCCUAGUUCGACAGGACUGGGAAAUCUUUGAACGCAUGUCGUGAUAGGGAUAGAUCAUUGCAAUUAUUGAUCUUGAACGAGGAAUUCCUAGUAAACGCGAGUCAUCAGCUCGCAUUGAUUACGUCCCUGCCCUUUGUACACACCGCCCGUCGCACCUACCGAUUGAAUGUUUCGGUGAAGAUUCCGGAUAGGACUGAUUUGAUUUAUUUCAUUUCUGACCUAAAAGCUAUCUAAACCUCAACAUUUAGAGGAAGGUGAAGUCGUAACA